GUAGCUCGCUUCGGCAGCACAUAUACUAAAAUUGGAAUAACAUAGAGAAGAUGAGCACGGCCCCUGCGCAAGGAUGACGUGCAAGUCUGUCAAGUGUUCCGUGAUUUU
Capra hircus (goat) is the source of this 108-nucleotide small nuclear RNA. The record is from Ensembl. NCBI's taxonomy places the organism in Eukaryota, Metazoa, Chordata, Mammalia, Artiodactyla, Bovidae.